AUACGGAGGAUCCGAGCGUUAUCCGGAUUUAUUGGGUUUAAAGGGUGCUCAGGCGGGCGAUUAAGUCGGCGGUGAAAUUUUGCGGCUCAACCGUAAAAGUGCCUUCGAAACUGGUCGCCUUGAGUGUGGAUGAGGUAGGCGGAAUUUGUGGUGUAGCGGUGAAAUGCAUAGAUAUCACGAGGAACUCCGAUUGCGCAGGCAGCUUACUAAACUACUACUGACGCUCAGGCACGAAGGCGUUGAGAUCAAACAGGAUUAGAUACCCUGGUAGUCCACGCAGUAAACGAUGAUUACUAGCUGUGUGCGAUACAAUGUAAGCGGCUGAGCGAAAGCGUUAAGUAAUCCACCUGGGGAGUACGUUCGCAAGAAUGAAACUCAAAGGAAUUGACGGGG
This 393-nucleotide ribosomal RNA is filed under the name uncultured bacterium. Its description in RNAcentral is "partial 16S ribosomal RNA". It matches the Rfam family "Bacterial small subunit ribosomal RNA", at positions 523 to 918 of the family's 1533-position model. The record is from RNAcentral.